UUUCCGUAGGUGAACCUGGGGAAGGAUCAUUAAUGAGUUGUCAUGGGGUUCGAUGCUGGCAGCCAGUUUUUGGAUGCAUGUGCUUGCCCUAACAAUCAUCUUCUUCCAGACACCUGUGCACAUUUUUGAGGGAGUCUUGGGUUGGUUGCCGCUCUUGGGUGAUUUUCUCACAUUCCCUUAAAUCAUUAUACGCUAUUAACAAUGUUGAACGUGCUCUGUGCCGCAAGGCCAUUAAUAUAAUACAACUUUUAACAACGGAUCUCUUGGCUCUC
Molecule: unclassified non-coding RNA, 272 nt
Filed under: plant metagenome
Description: partial contains small subunit ribosomal RNA, internal transcribed spacer 1, and 5.8S ribosomal RNA
Source: RNAcentral